Molecule: ribosomal RNA, 253 nt
Filed under: uncultured bacterium
Lineage: Bacteria
Description: partial 16S ribosomal RNA
Rfam family: Bacterial small subunit ribosomal RNA
Source: RNAcentral
UACGUAGGGUACGAGCGUUGUCCGGAAUUACUGGGCGUAAAGAGUUCGUAGGCGGUUUGUCGCGUCGUUCGUGAAAACUUGGGGCUUAACUCCAAGCGUGCGGGCGAUACGGGCAGACUUGAGUACUACAGGGGAGACUGGAAUUCCUGGUGUAGCGGUGAAAUGCGCAGAUAUCAGGAGGAACACCGGUGGCGAAGGCGGGUCUCUGGGCCGAUACUGACGCUGAGGAGCGAAAGCGUGGGGAGCGAACAGG